This 406-nucleotide ribosomal RNA is filed under the name uncultured bacterium. Its description in RNAcentral is "partial 16S ribosomal RNA". It matches the Rfam family "Bacterial small subunit ribosomal RNA", at positions 30 to 526 of the family's 1533-position model. The record is from RNAcentral.
AUUGAACGCUGGCGGCAGGCCUAACACAUGCAAGUCGAACGAGUGGCGGACGGGUGAGUAAUGUCUGGGAAACUGCCCGAUGGAGGGGGAUAACUACUGGAAACGGUAGCUAAUACCGCAUACCAUCGGAUGUGCCAAGAUGGGAUUAGCUAGUAGGUGGGGUAACGGCUCACCUAGGCGACGAUCCCUAGCUGGUCUGAGAGGAUGCCCAGCCAACCUGGAACUGAGACACGGCCCAGACUCCUACGGGAGGCAGCAGUGGGGAAUAUUGCACAAUGGGCGAAAGCCUGAUGCAGCCAUGCCGCGUGUAUGAAGAAGGCCUUCGGGUUGUAAAGUAAUUUUGGCGGGGAGGCGGUACUCGCAGAAGAAGCACCGGCUAACUCCGUGCCAGCAGCCGCGGUAAUAC